RNAcentral lists this RNase MRP RNA (280 nucleotides) under Canis lupus familiaris (dog). RNAcentral's name for it is "mitochondrial RNA-processing endoribonuclease RNA component". It matches the Rfam family "RNase MRP". From Rfam's summary of the family: RNase MRP is an enzymatically active ribonucleoprotein with two distinct roles in eukaryotes. The record is from RNAcentral. Lineage: Eukaryota; Metazoa; Chordata; Mammalia; Carnivora; Canidae.
AGCGCGUGCUGAAGGCCUGUUUCCUAGGCUACAGACGGAGGACUUGUUCCUUAUUUGCGCCUAGGGGAAAGUCCCCGGACCCUUGGCAGAGAGUGCCGCGUGCGCGUGCACGCUGACUUUCCCUGCUUUGCACUGUAACGUCCGCCAAGAAGCGAUCCGUUUGCCGCGGGGAGCCGAGCGGCGUGUGGCGGGGCGUCGUCCGUCAACUCUAUCUAGUUACGCAGGCAGCGCGCCUGGUGCGCGCCAACCACACGGGGCUCAUUCUCAGCGCGGCUGAUUU